AGCGACGUAGUGUAGCGGUUAACACGCCUGCCUGUCACGCAGGAGAUCGCGGGUUCGAUUCCCGUCGAGACCGCCA
This is a transfer RNA of 76 nucleotides. The stretch from base 6 to 67 matches the Rfam family "tRNA", at positions 6 to 65 of the family's 71-position model. From Rfam's summary of the family: Transfer RNA (tRNA) molecules are approximately 80 nucleotides in length. Their secondary structure includes four short double-helical elements and three loops (D, anti-codon, and T loops).